UGAGAGAAUUCUGAUCAGAUCCAGGUUCAGGUCGGUGCUGCCAACAGGUUAGAUUUAAAUAAAAUUCAAAUAAAACCCUCAUCUUCAUUUUUCUUUUUCUUCUUUUUUAACAGAGCCCUAUGAAGUGAAGACAAAAG
Thalassophryne amazonica is the source of this 137-nucleotide long non-coding RNA. RefSeq lists it as uncharacterized. The transcript has 2 exons. NCBI's taxonomy places the organism in Eukaryota, Metazoa, Chordata, Actinopteri, Batrachoidiformes, Batrachoididae. The record is from RefSeq and is a predicted model, not a curated record.